CCUACGGGAGGCAGCAGUGAGGAAUAUUGGUCAAUGGACGAGAGUCUGAACCAGCCAUGUAGCGUGAAGGAUGACUGCCCUAUGGGUUGUAAACUUCUUUUAUAAAGGAAUAAAACGAGGCACGUGUGCCUUUUUGCAUGUACUUUAUGAAUAAGGAUCGGCUAACUCCGUGUCAGCAGCCGCGGUAAUACGGAGGAUCCGAGCGUUAUCCGGAUUUCUUGGGUUUAAAGGGAGCGUAGAUGGGUUGUUAAGUCAGUUGUGAAAGUUUGCGGCUCAACCGUAAAAUUGCAAUUGAUACUGGCAGUCUUGAGUACAGUUGAGGUAGGCGGAAUUCGUGGUGUAGCGGUGAAAUGCUUAGAUAUCACGAAGAACCCCGAUUGCGAAGGCAGCUUACUAAACUGUGACUGACAUUGAUGCUCGAAAGUGUGGGUAUCAAACAGGAUUAGAUACCCCAGUAGUC
RNAcentral lists this ribosomal RNA (460 nucleotides) under uncultured bacterium. Its description in RNAcentral is "partial 16S ribosomal RNA". It matches the Rfam family "Bacterial small subunit ribosomal RNA", at positions 338 to 795 of the family's 1533-position model. The record is from RNAcentral.